Long non-coding RNA from Myotis myotis, 272 nucleotides. RefSeq lists it as uncharacterized. The record is from RefSeq and is a predicted model, not a curated record. NCBI's taxonomy places the organism in Eukaryota, Metazoa, Chordata, Mammalia, Chiroptera, Vespertilionidae. The transcript is spliced from 4 exons.
CAGGACUAGCUGCUCAUUCAUCUCUGUUGUCAACAUUUCAAAAAAGAAGAAAGUAAAGAAAAGAAAGAAAAGACUCCUAGAGAUUACAGAGCUGAUGGAGGAAGAGCUGUGAAGACCAAAAUGACAUCAGAAGGUUUGUGCUGGAGAAAACAUAUUGAUGAAGAGUAAAAUGCAGAUGUUCAUUAAUUAGUAAAGGGUCUCUGGAGAUGUCACCUCCUUCCAAGGAUCUGCCUAUUUCCAAAGUUAGCGCACGGGGAGCCAUGAAAAAGAAC